Molecule: ribosomal RNA, 1530 nt
Filed under: Salmonella enterica
Lineage: Bacteria; Pseudomonadati; Pseudomonadota; Gammaproteobacteria; Enterobacterales; Enterobacteriaceae
Also listed under: 1 other name
Description: bacterial SSU rRNA
Rfam family: Bacterial small subunit ribosomal RNA
Source: RNAcentral
AGAGUUUGAUCAUGGCUCAGAUUGAACGCUGGCGGCAGGCCUAACACAUGCAAGUCGAACGGUAACAGGAAGCAGCUUGCUGCUUUGCUGACGAGUGGCGGACGGGUGAGUAAUGUCUGGGAAACUGCCUGAUGGAGGGGGAUAACUACUGGAAACGGUGGCUAAUACCGCAUAACGUCGCAAGACCAAAGAGGGGGACCUUCGGGCCUCUUGCCAUCAGAUGUGCCCAGAUGGGAUUAGCUAGUUGGUGAGGUAACGGCUCACCAAGGCGACGAUCCCUAGCUGGUCUGAGAGGAUGACCAGCCACACUGGAACUGAGACACGGUCCAGACUCCUACGGGAGGCAGCAGUGGGGAAUAUUGCACAAUGGGCGCAAGCCUGAUGCAGCCAUGCCGCGUGUAUGAAGAAGGCCUUCGGGUUGUAAAGUACUUUCAGCGGGGAGGAAGGUGUUGUGGUUAAUAACCGCAGCAAUUGACGUUACCCGCAGAAGAAGCACCGGCUAACUCCGUGCCAGCAGCCGCGGUAAUACGGAGGGUGCAAGCGUUAAUCGGAAUUACUGGGCGUAAAGCGCACGCAGGCGGUCUGUCAAGUCGGAUGUGAAAUCCCCGGGCUCAACCUGGGAACUGCAUUCGAAACUGGCAGGCUUGAGUCUUGUAGAGGGGGGUAGAAUUCCAGGUGUAGCGGUGAAAUGCGUAGAGAUCUGGAGGAAUACCGGUGGCGAAGGCGGCCCCCUGGACAAAGACUGACGCUCAGGUGCGAAAGCGUGGGGAGCAAACAGGAUUAGAUACCCUGGUAGUCCACGCCGUAAACGAUGUCUACUUGGAGGUUGUGCCCUUGAGGCGUGGCUUCCGGAGCUAACGCGUUAAGUAGACCGCCUGGGGAGUACGGCCGCAAGGUUAAAACUCAAAUGAAUUGACGGGGGCCCGCACAAGCGGUGGAGCAUGUGGUUUAAUUCGAUGCAACGCGAAGAACCUUACCUGGUCUUGACAUCCACAGAACUUUCCAGAGAUGGAUUGGUGCCUUCGGGAACUGUGAGACAGGUGCUGCAUGGCUGUCGUCAGCUCGUGUUGUGAAAUGUUGGGUUAAGUCCCGCAACGAGCGCAACCCUUAUCCUUUGUUGCCAGCGGUCCGGCCGGGAACUCAAAGGAGACUGCCAGUGAUAAACUGGAGGAAGGUGGGGAUGACGUCAAGUCAUCAUGGCCCUUACGACCAGGGCUACACACGUGCUACAAUGGCGCAUACAAAGAGAAGCGACCUCGCGAGAGCAAGCGGACCUCAUAAAGUGCGUCGUAGUCCGGAUUGGAGUCUGCAACUCGACUCCAUGAAGUCGGAAUCGCUAGUAAUCGUGGAUCAGAAUGCCACGGUGAAUACGUUCCCGGGCCUUGUACACACCGCCCGUCACACCAUGGGAGUGGGUUGCAAAAGAAGUAGGUAGCUUAACCUUCGGGAGGGCGCUUACCACUUUGUGAUUCAUGACUGGGGUGAAGUCGUAACAAGGUAACCGUAGGGGAACCUGCGGUUGGAUCACCU